Haemorhous mexicanus (house finch) is the source of this 587-nucleotide long non-coding RNA. RefSeq lists it as uncharacterized. The transcript has 2 exons. The record is from RefSeq and is a predicted model, not a curated record. Lineage: Eukaryota; Metazoa; Chordata; Aves; Passeriformes; Fringillidae.
CUUCUGGGAUGAAGGGUGUGGCUUUCAGUUGAAAAAAACCCUCUGGAGCAACUUCAGGGGAGAGGAAACUGCUGGUGCAGGUUCAGCGGGAGCACUAAAUUGGGAAAUACCAUUCCUAACCCUUGACAACUAUGAAAGCAACCUUUUUUUUUUUUUUUUAAUAAAUGGUUCAAAAAGUACUGGGGAAAAUAUCUAGCACAUUGAGGGAAAUGAAGGUGAACCACACUAUUUGUAUUGCCACAACACCAAUAGCUCUAGAGGUGUGUGACAGGAACCCCAUGUGCCAGAUGGUGUAUGACUAAAAGGCAAAUGUGUGAUUGAAAAGACAGCCCUUGAGCCAAGAAACUUGAAACAGCAAAGAAGAGGCCUCCAGCUGUCUAUGAGCAGGACAGGACAGCGAAUUGUUGGAGGACAGCAGCAAAUACCAUGCUGUACAGCGAGCCAGCAGGACAUACCAGAUCACUGCAGGGAAGCCCCAAAUGCCCAUACUCAUGACACCUCCCUGUGCUUGCAGCCUGUCCACAGAUUGCUGUGCUGAGCAUUGCAAGUACACUGUAAUAAAGUUGUUAUUUUGUUUUACUAUAAAA